AUCUGGGCCCUAUCUUUGUGCUAGCCAGUAUUUAUAUAAAUGGCAAUAAUUUUACGUAGGCGGAUCUCAACUGCCAUACAGACUUCACAUUGACUCAUUACAGAAGAAGGAAUUUCAUCCACUGAAAAUACUCAGUGGUUUGUCUGAUAUUAGCUGAUAGGGUUUGCAGCUGACUAAGAAGCAUGUUAUUUCUUCUCCCUGGCUGGACAGCCCAAGCAGCAUUGUGUGCCAUGGUGACUGCAGUCAGAGCACAUAUCAGGCUUGUAUUUCCUGUCCAGACAGCUGCUUACUGCAGGCCUGGGACCUCUUUUGGGUAUUAUCUGCCACCUGGCCAGCAGAAGCACCUAGCCAACAUGCAAAAUCAAAUACUGAAAGACCAGUAUAAGAUCUUAAGUCCAGGAAAAUCCCAUUCUGAUGAAAAAGACAUGAGAAUUUUGUGCAUCAGAUUGCAAAAGUAA
RNAcentral lists this long non-coding RNA (458 nucleotides) under Anas platyrhynchos platyrhynchos (common mallard). Its description in RNAcentral is "lncRNA (ENSAPLG00000026751.1)". Lineage: Eukaryota; Metazoa; Chordata; Aves; Anseriformes; Anatidae. The record is from RNAcentral.